RNAcentral lists this ribosomal RNA (494 nucleotides) under uncultured bacterium. RNAcentral describes it as "partial 16S ribosomal RNA". The record is from RNAcentral.
GUAGUUAGCCGGGGCUUCCUCCUUGACUACCGUCACUUUCUUCGUUGCCAAGGACAGAGGUUUACAACCCGAAAGCCUUCUUCCCUCACGCGGCGUUGCUGGGUCAGGCUUGCGCCCAUUGCCCAAUAUUCCCCACUGCUGCCUCCCGUAGGAGUCUGGACCGUGUCUCAGUUCCAGUGUGGCCGUUCAGCCUCUCAGCUCGGCUACCCAUCGUCGACUAGGUGGGCCGUUACCCCGCCUACUAUCUAAUGGGACGCGAGCCCCUCCCUCUGCGGAUUACUCCUUUGACCUCUCUCCGAUGCCGGAAUGUGGUCUUAUGCGGUAUUAGCAUCUGUUUCCAAAUGUUAUCCCCCUCAAAGGGUCAGGUUGCUCACGCGUUACUCACCCGUUCGCCACUAAGCAAUAACCGAAAUCAUUGCUCCGUUCGACUUGCAUGUGUUAGGUCGACGCCGCCACGCGUUCGUUCCUCGAACCAACGAUACAACUUACUUGUA